RNAcentral lists this ribosomal RNA (261 nucleotides) under uncultured bacterium. Its description in RNAcentral is "partial 16S ribosomal RNA". It matches the Rfam family "Bacterial small subunit ribosomal RNA", at positions 95 to 354 of the family's 1533-position model. The record is from RNAcentral.
CCGGCGCACGGGUGAGUAACACGUAUGCAACCUGCCUGCCACAGCCGGAUAAUCGGGAGAAAUUCCGUCUAAUACGGCAUAAUGCAUCGACGGGACAUCCUGUUGGUGCCAAAGGUUAAUUCCGGUGGCGGAUGGGCAUGCGUCGCAUUAGUUAGUUGGCGGUGUAACGGACCACCAAGACGACGAUGCGUAGGGGUUCUGAGAGGAAGGUCCCCCACACUGGUACUGAGACACGGACCAGACUCCUACGGGAGGCAGCAG